UCUGGCUGUACUGCUGCAGGGCCGGCUGGAGCACCGUGAUGGGGAUGCUGAAGUUCAGGUGGGGGUAUGUGGCCCCCGUGUUAUUGUCCCGGGUGUUGCUGGCGACGAUGCCUGUUCAGGAGACAGAGAGGAAAAGAAGCUCCAUGAGGGCCAGGCUGCCCCAGGCUGUGUUUUGUUCAUAAUCUCCCCAGGACCUGGAAGAGUGCCUGGCAGAGUGGGAUCUCAACACAUACUUGUUGAGUGAAUGAAUAAAUGAAUCAGACUCACA
Long non-coding RNA from Cervus elaphus (red deer), 268 nucleotides. RefSeq lists it as uncharacterized. The transcript has 2 exons. The record is from RefSeq and is a predicted model, not a curated record. Lineage: Eukaryota; Metazoa; Chordata; Mammalia; Artiodactyla; Cervidae.